UGUGUUGUUGUUUUCUCCUUACUU
Molecule: small RNA, 24 nt
Filed under: Arabidopsis thaliana (thale cress)
Lineage: Eukaryota; Viridiplantae; Streptophyta; Magnoliopsida; Brassicales; Brassicaceae
Description: ATSL306760
Source: RNAcentral